UGCCCAGCAACUCCUAUCCCUACCUCCACGCGGUACCGGCCGGAA
This is a non-coding RNA of Aedes albopictus (Asian tiger mosquito), 45 nucleotides long. Lineage: Eukaryota; Metazoa; Arthropoda; Insecta; Diptera; Culicidae. The record is from Rfam.